UACGUAGGUGGCAAGCGAUACUCGGAAUCACUAGGCGUAAAGCGCAGGUAGGAGGUUGGAUAAGUCUCUUGUGAAAGCUCCCGGCUUAACUGGGAGAGGUCAAGGGAAACUAUCCGGCUAGAGUCCGGGAGAGGAGAGUGGAAUUCCUGGUGUAGCGGUGAAAUGCGCAGAUAUCAGGAAGAACACCCGUGGCGAAAGCGGCUCUCUGGAACGGUACUGACGCUGAGACGCGAAAGCGUGGGGAGCGAACAGG
RNAcentral lists this ribosomal RNA (253 nucleotides) under uncultured bacterium. RNAcentral's name for it is "partial 16S ribosomal RNA". It matches the Rfam family "Bacterial small subunit ribosomal RNA", at positions 524 to 776 of the family's 1533-position model. The record is from RNAcentral.